AUACGUAGGGGGCAAGCGUUGUCCGGAUUUAUUGGGCGUAAAGGGUUUGCAGGUGGCCUUUUAAGUCAGAUGUGAAAGAUCAAGGCUUAACCUUGGUAAGCAUUUGAAACUGAAAGGCUUGAGUUAAGGAGAGGAAAGUGGAAUUCCUGGUGUAGCGGUGAAAUGCGUAGAUAUUAGGAGGAAUACCAGUGGCGAAGGCGACUUUCUGGACUUAUACUGACACUGAGGAACGAAAGCAUGGGGAGCAAACAGGAUUAGAUACCCUGGUAGUCCAUGCCGUAAACGAUGAGUGCUAGGUGUCGGGGGUCAAACCUCGGUGCCGGAGCUAACGCAUUAAGCACUCCGCCUGGGGAGUACGUACGCAAGUAUGAA
This 372-nucleotide ribosomal RNA is filed under the name uncultured bacterium. RNAcentral describes it as "bacterial SSU rRNA". It matches the Rfam family "Bacterial small subunit ribosomal RNA", at positions 523 to 898 of the family's 1533-position model. The record is from RNAcentral.